RNAcentral lists this unclassified non-coding RNA (634 nucleotides) under Aphananthe aspera. RNAcentral describes it as "partial contains internal transcribed spacer 1, 5.8S ribosomal RNA, and internal transcribed spacer 2". The stretch from base 256 to 411 matches the Rfam family "5.8S ribosomal RNA". The record is from RNAcentral. Lineage: Eukaryota; Viridiplantae; Streptophyta; Magnoliopsida; Rosales; Cannabaceae.
UGACCUGCGGAAGGAUCAUUGUCGAAACCUGCCCCGCAGAACGACCCGCGAACGAGUUUGAAACACCCCGGGGGGGCGAGGGGUGCCAAAGCCUCGGACCCCCCCUCGCUGGGCGCGCCCCGUGCGCUCCCGGCGCUCACAACGAACCCCGGCGCGAGUCGCGCCAAGGAUCCUUAACGAACGAGCGCGCUCCAGCCGACCCCGGAGACGGCGGUCGGGGGAGCUUGCCUCCGAAUCAAAUAUUAAGUCAAAAACGACUCUCGGCAACGGAUAUCUCGGCUCUCGCAUCGAUGAAGAACGUAGCGAAAUGCGAUACUUGGUGUGAAUUGCAGAAUCCCGUGAACCAUCGAGUCUUUGAACGCAAGUUGCGCCCGAAGCCAUUAGGCCGAGGGCACGUCUGCCUGGGCGUCACACAACGUUGCCCCCCCCAAUCACCGUCCACCUUGUCGUGGCGGCAGAAGAGGAGGGGGCGGAUGAUGGCCUCCCGUGAGCUUCUCGGCCUCGCGGUUGGCCUAAACACGAGUCCUCGGCCGCGGUGGCCGCGACAAUCGGUGGUUGCAAGGCCAUUCGGUGCCCCGUCGCGUGCCGUCGCGCCUCGCGAGACUCCAAGAGACCCCAUCGCGCCUCGGCGCUU